UGGGGAAUUUUGGACAAUGGGCGAAAGCCUGAUCCAGCAAUGCCGCGUGUGUGAAGAAGGCCUUCGGGUUGUAAAGCACUUUUGUCCGGAAAGAAAUCCUUGGCUCUAAUACAGUCGGGGGAUGACGGUACCGGAAGAAUAAGCACCGGCUAACUACGUGCCAGCAGCCGCGGUAAUACGUAGGGUGCAAGCGUUAAUCGGAAUUACUGGGCGUAAAGCGUGCGCAGGCGGUUUGCUAAGACCGAUGUGAAAUCCCCGGGCUCAACCUGGGAACUGCAUUGGUGACUGGCAGGCUAGAGUAUGGCAGAGGGGGGUAGAAUUCCACGUGUAGCAGUGAAAUGCGUAGAGAUGUGGAGGAAUACCGAUGGCGAAGGCAGCCCCCUGGGCCAAUACUGACGCUCAUGCACGAAAGCGUGGGGAGCAAAACAGGAUUAGAUACCCUGGUAGUCCACGCCCUAAAACGAUGUCAACUAGUUGUUGGGGAUUCAUUUCCUUAGUAACGUAGCUAACGCGUGAAGUUGACCGCCUGGGGAGUACGGUCGCAAGAUUAAAACUCAAAUGAAUUGACGGGGUC
RNAcentral lists this ribosomal RNA (574 nucleotides) under uncultured bacterium. RNAcentral's name for it is "partial 16S ribosomal RNA". It matches the Rfam family "Bacterial small subunit ribosomal RNA", at positions 355 to 920 of the family's 1533-position model. The record is from RNAcentral.